RNAcentral lists this transfer RNA (88 nucleotides) under Nonlabens tegetincola. RNAcentral describes it as "tRNA-Ser". It matches the Rfam family "tRNA". From Rfam's summary of the family: Transfer RNA (tRNA) molecules are approximately 80 nucleotides in length. Lineage: Bacteria; Pseudomonadati; Bacteroidota; Flavobacteriia; Flavobacteriales; Flavobacteriaceae. RNAcentral also lists the same sequence under 2 other names. The record is from RNAcentral.
AGUGAGGUGGCCGAGUGGUCGAAGGCGCACGCCUGGAAAGUGUGUAAACGGCAAAACCGUUUCGAGGGUUCGAAUCCCUUCCUCACUG